UUUACUCAGUGAUGGCACAGGCUCAGAAUGAAAAAACAAUGACAUUGUCCUAAGUAGAGCACUGAAGUUCACAGACAAGCAGUUCUUCCACUGACUUACAGUAGGCAUUCCUUGGGACGAGAGCCUUGCAUCUGCAUCCUUCUGUGAAGCACUGACACUGAUGAGCACUUGCUCGUCAUGCAAGAAGUGCAGAAUGCCAUUUAACAGCAGCAUGAAGCAGAGCAGAGUCUUUGACAAGUGCCAUGUGACCUUGUCACCACUGCAAACCUCUCUUCAGUGGAAGCAAGCUCGAAUGGCAGCACUUUGCACAGGGCUCUGGCCCCGUAAGCCUGCUCAGGGCUCCCUCCUUCCCCCGGAAGCUUUGCAGGUAAGGGAGUGCAGCGCCGGCAGCGAGCAAUGGAUGUCCUUCUCUGGGGGUCUUUUGGUUUCCUCAGAGCUCCUGGUCUAAAGGAACUGAUCCUGCAGACCUGCUGCUUCACACGAGUGCUCGAUCUGGAGCCUGGCACUUCUGGCUGUUAGCUGUUUCCACACUGCUGCUGUCCACAGGGGUGGCUGAUAAAGCAAAAAUGCACUCAAGUCCAGAGAGCUGUGAUGACUUACUUCUGUGCUGUGGAAUGAAGCCUUUGAUGCUGACUUCUGUAAUUUAUUCUAUUCUGAGUUUUCCACUGAAGUGUUAUUAAAAUCUAUUAGAAAAGGCUAAGGCAGAUUGAGGGUGGUAGAUAAAGCUAAAUGGGUUUUAUUUUCCUCUCUGCUCGAAACGCAUGGCUGUGAUAUGACAGAAAUAGAAGCAGUAAGUAAAUAAAGCUUCCAGCUUGUUUCCCAAAUACUGUUCAGUAAAAACCAACCGAGCCACGUUCCAAGGGAGCACUCUGGUGGAACUGUGGAACCUGGAAGCAAAAGCCCGUUCCAUCCAAAGGGCGCCAGCAGCCUCUGCGCCGGGGGUCGCUCAGGCAAGGCGAUGAACACAGGAGCCAGCCCUUCCCCUCCUCCAGCCCUCCUCCUCAAGGACUAGAGAGUAAUCUUUGUAAAGGCAAAUUAACUUCAGAGAACAGCAGAUCCGCAGGCCUGUAGGAUGCGUGGCAUCGGGCCAAGUACUCGCUAUUGGCUGUUAAUUGGGAUGUGCAGCGUCCCUCCCUCCUGCGGGCCUGUGUGCCCGAAGGGUGGCAAAAGCAGGCAGUCCUCUGCCCCUCAAAGCCAUCCCUGGCAAUGGGCACACCCUGUCGACAAGAGGUGCGUGGCUGCCUUCCAGACCCUGCCGGAACAGAAGCAGAGCUCAUUUAUCUUAGGCUUUAGCAGCCCCAAGCGUUAGCAGGAAGCCCAGGAGGGCACAGGACACCUUCCGCUGCUCCCCGGCACAAAAUAAAGGUGAUGCUGAGGAGCUUGCAGUGGAUGUCAGACAACCUGGGAGGGAAGCUCCAACCCCGUGUGAGCUGGGGGUGAGGGAAAGCCAUGGAUUUGCCCAGGAGGCUUUCUUCUGCCUGGCAGUGAAGGCAGGAAUAAAGGAGCCUUACACUGAGGAGUUCUCUGCCGGUUUGCCGGCGAGCCAUGCCCCGCGGCACCGCGCUUAGGAACCUGACAACUCGGAGUCGCGCAUCACAGCGUGGGAACUCAAUCCGCCCGUGGACCGCGGCAGAGUUCGGAUUCUGGAGACAGAAACCCAGAAGGCUUAAUCUGUACUUAAAAUGAAGGGGGAAACUCAGUGUGAGCUGCAGGGAAGGAAAGGACCUUCUAAGGAAUUCUUUUUUCCCACGUCGCUGUGGUUCUGUGGCAGCACUGCCCAGUGGGCUGGGCUGGGCGUGCGGGGCUCGAUGUGCCAAGUGAUGGUUGGCAGCUCUAGGCGAUUUUGAAUCCAGUCCCUCACACACUGCUAACCCUGCAUCUUAUGCCCAUUUCUCUGUUCUGAGCAGCAGAAGAUGGAAGGACUUGCU
Long non-coding RNA from Pogoniulus pusillus (Red-fronted tinkerbird), 1928 nucleotides. RefSeq lists it as uncharacterized. The transcript has 3 exons. NCBI's taxonomy places the organism in Eukaryota, Metazoa, Chordata, Aves, Piciformes, Lybiidae. The record is from RefSeq and is a predicted model, not a curated record.